UGACGUACAGUGGCCUGGGCGGUCCGGUUCGGAAUGCUACAUGAUUUCAAAGUAUUUGUCUAACCUGGUAAACAUAUAUUGAUGUCAGUUAUAGCUCAACUAGCUAUCACCAAGAAGUAAAAGGCCAAUUGUCAUUUAAAUUAUUCAUGUAAUGUUUGUAAUUGCGAAAGAAACGAGUUUUCUUUCUGGCAAAGACAUGCGCGUAGCAAUACCAGAUACAUGGGUGGACCUUCGGUGAAGCGUGACGACUGAUUAAUCAAUGAGUGUCAAUAUUAGCGGACAUAACGGAACUCGUGUACGAAUUUUGAACUGUUUAAAGGAGGGCCAACACGACAUGACUGUACGAUAACACGCCCUGAAAUGAAUGUUAGAUUUAAACGAAGAAGAGAACGCUCUUACAGUUUGGAUAUUAAUGUACUCGGGACCGUUCAGGACCUUCCUCUGGAGUAAUUUCACAAUAUGGCUGUCCAAGGGAUAAUUUCUGUUUGGACAUAUUCUUUACUUUUCUGUGUUUUACACCUGUAUAUUAAAGGCGUUGUGUGUUCAGAAUGUACGGAUCUUGCAAGGAUACUGGAAGUUCCAGUUGUGUCUCCAUGCCAACCUACGGCAUCUCACGUGACCGGAAGUGGUGUUGUGUUCGACUUUUAUGAGAGCAACAAUUUAGUAGUGGACAGCUGUUCCUGCUCGAUCACGAUUCCGUCGACAACAGACUUUACACUGUCAAUGUCUGCAUACCAAGGUUUGGGUAUCGACAUCAAUUCGGGGUGUGGGUCUAGGAUCGAGGUCAAUUCCAGCCGAUCAGGGUCACAGGUCAUGGAAUGUCGAGUGUUUGGAUCUAUUGCUAUGAAGGCUGGGGAAAACGCAGCAGUGACACUGUUCAAAGAACAAAAUGGCGAUGCUCGGUACUGUAUGCUAAUGAGUACAGCUCCAUCGUUUAUAAUGGACAUAAACUGUGAGGCCGUGGGAUCUCCGCCUACAACAACGACAAAAACAACAACAAACCCAAUGACCACAACAACCACAACACCACUACCACCAACAACAACAGAACCAACAACCACAACAACAACAGAACCAACAACAACAAAACCAACAACCACAACACCCACUUCUACAUCACUAAUCACUACUACAACACCUACUUCUACCACUGUUACAACAACACUUGCUGUUGCGUCACAACCUAUUACAACUACAGCAAAAACAGCGACCACAACAACAAAACAAGUAACAAAAACAACAAAACCACCAACAACCACUACAACAAAACCACCAACAACCACUACAACAAAACCACCAACAACAACACAACCGUUGGUAACUACAGUUCAAUCUUCAUCGCCAACAACAUCGCCAUUGUUGUCAUCCUCGACCGCUAUAUCUACCACGACUACCACGACUGCUGGGGCCGGUACAAAUGAAGGAGGUCAGGGAGAGAACAGCGGCAACGACAAUCUUAUGAUAAUCAUCCCUGUGGUUGUCGGGUUCUUCCUCCUCCUCCUGUUACUGGUGGUGGUCACACAGCUGGUCAGGACGAAAAAGAAGCAAACAAAGGACCCGGAUAUGGAGAAAUUUAGAUUUGGUCACACAUUUCCUAAGCACAGUGUUUUUCUACAUUCGACCGGCAUGGUGGAAAAUACAAAGUACGACAGUAAGGAGGAUCUUCACAGGUAUAGUGACCGCUACAUUAGCGUUACAAACCCUGUGUACAACCACGGCGAGGCCGAACACUUACCGGACCUUACCGACCAGCAGGUCACAGAUUUUACACAUAACUCUGAGCCAGACAAAAUUAUUUCUGAAAUAACACUAAAUGACACUGAAGUAAACAACGAAGCGCCUUUGUAUGCCGUUGUUAACAAAACUAACACAAAUAUUUCUCUUGACCUUUCGAAGAUGUCCGACUUCAGCAGUAAUAGCAGCAGUGAGGUAAACAGUAUUGGGAUGCUGGAAGAAAACGAGAGAAAUUUGAGACACGAAGAAACUUUUCAUUAUUAACUUUAGUUUCAUUUCAAACAUUAAAUACUGGGCAUGUUUUCGGUCUAAUGACGAAGUAAGAUUAACACUUAGAUCCCCUCUAUUCCUCUGUAGCAAAAUCGUUGUUUUUGUAUGCGAUGGGUCGCAUGAAUUUUUCUGAAAUAUAAAUACUGUAUGAUAAUAUAAUUUUUGAGUCUUUUUCUUAAAUACCAUGAACCCUCUACUAAUCACGUGUUAUUUAGUUAAAAGACAGAACUCGAUUGAACUGUUCUGUGAUAACAACGUACAACGUACAAACAGAAACAUUGUCAGGCUUCAGUAUUGUACUUACAGUGUACACACAGAAACAUUGUCAGACUUCAGUAUUGUACGUACAAUGUACACCGUGAAACAUUGUCACACUUUAGUAGUGUACGUACAAUAUAAUGUACAAACAGAAACAUUGUCAGACUUCAGUAUUGUACGUACAACAUACAAACAGAAACAUUGUCAGACUUCAGUAUUAUACGUACAAUAUAAUGUACAAACA
RNAcentral lists this unclassified non-coding RNA (2506 nucleotides) under Mizuhopecten yessoensis (Yesso scallop). Its description in RNAcentral is "cell wall integrity and stress response component 1- like, transcript variant X2". The record is from RNAcentral. Lineage: Eukaryota; Metazoa; Mollusca; Bivalvia; Pectinida; Pectinidae.